Molecule: long non-coding RNA, 321 nt
Organism: Tachyglossus aculeatus (Australian echidna)
Lineage: Eukaryota; Metazoa; Chordata; Mammalia; Monotremata; Tachyglossidae
Exons: 3
Source: RefSeq, a predicted model, not a curated record
GUCUAAGUCAGUGAUAUACAAAUUUCCCUUUGAAGGUGGAAGUGGAAGAAACUGUGCUCCCCUCCAAGUGAUGCAUGAAGGACCAUAGUCAAACCUGCUCCACCUAGCUUCUUUGCUCCUCCUAAUAAUAAAUGGACUAUGAAUCUUCAUGCCUACCUUCCAUCAAUGUUCUGCAUCCUUCGGGUGCAUGAGAAAAACAACAACAGCAACAAUAACAAAAACCUUUCCUACCUGCUUCAGAAUAGCAGGAAGAACCAAUUUGAUCUUGCUCACAAAGAAGAGAACAGAAGUCUUUAAGCAGAGAGUUGAAAUCUGGAGAAA